This 1411-nucleotide non-coding RNA is filed under the name Pongo abelii (Sumatran orangutan). The record is from RNAcentral. Lineage: Eukaryota; Metazoa; Chordata; Mammalia; Primates; Hominidae.
CCCACUUGAGAUGGGCGUGUCACCAUCACUCCUGCAUGACCUUCAGAGAGCCAGGUCACCUCUACUCAGUUCUAACAUCUGCUCCAGGGUUUCAAUUCCAUCCAGUUGCUCUUCUUGCCCAGGGCCAGAGGCAAGAUGGAUUCCUGAUUAGCUGACAGCUGUGCCUACCCCGCAGGGCUCUCAGAGCUAAUCCUAUAAAGUGCCUGCACUGGAUAAAGUUGGUUGAGUCACACCUUGCCCUCUCCACAUGGAGCCUAGGUUUGCCUAAAUGGGCAGCAAGGUAUAAUGAGAAGAACAGAGGGUUUGGAACCAGAAUGACACAGGUUCAAAUCCCAGCUCUGCCCCUUAGAACUGUCCCACCAAGGAAGAUCCACUGCUGCUGAGCUCUAGUGAACCCCUCUGUAAAAUGAGAUGAGGACCCCUGCUCAGGAUGUUGUGAGGACAAAGGGAGACAGCACGCACGUAAAGCACGGUCCCAGUGCCUAUAAGCACUGAUUCCUUUCUGUUGAAUCAGGCGUGAGGAAAAGCUCUACCCGAGAUGCCCUCGUCCCAGGCACCUUUCAGGCUGUACCCACGCUCUCACCCAACGAGGGUGGUGAUAGCUCCCCAACAUCAUUUCAAGCUCUAGGCUGUACUAGGCCUCUGCGGAUGCCUGGAGGUGGCUCUUGUCAAUUCUCACCUCCCUUCCUGCUGCUGCCCGGCUCGUCAGGAGGCCGCUUGAAGGCUGGGCUCUGGCGACUCAUCAAGCAAGUGUCCCUGCUGCUCAGGGGCUGCUUCAAUCAGGGGGACGCCACAGGAGGCAUUAUUAGCUGCACCCGCACUGGGGCACACAGAGUAGCCAGGGAGGAUCCCCUCUCUGGUGGGUCACGAGGCGGCUCUGUGCAUGCAUUUGUGUGUGUUUAUUGAUAAAGAGCCACAUUUGCAUUUUGCUCUGGCUUGGAGAGCUUGUGGGUUUGGCCCUGAGCUUGGGUGGCAGUCAGCUUCUGUCCCGUGCUUGUCACUUAUCUGUGUCUGUGGCAGCGGAGGAAGAGGCAUGGAGAUCUGGGACCUGUAAAACCCAAGCGUGGUCCUUCUCCCUAGCUGGGAAUCUGGCCUGUCUCCUCUGCUCUUCUCCUAGGAGAACAUGGAACCGCAUGGGCCACGACAUAGCUGACUGGGAAAGGGCGGUCAGUGGCGGAGGGCCUGCAGCCCAGCUACAUAACCCUGAAAGUCCCUUUCGGCCUGAAGAGCACACACAGUCUGAUGGGUACAGAUGUGAGCUCUGGAGUACAGCUUUCUGGGCUUGAAUUCUGGGGCUGCCAUUUGCUGACCAUGUGACCUUGGGCAAACUGCUUAACCUGUCUCUGCCUCGCCUUGCCAAUCUGUAAAUAGGGAUAAUGAUUAAAGAGUAAGUGAAAAUCAAAUGAAACAA